RNAcentral lists this small nuclear RNA (184 nucleotides) under Malus domestica (apple). RNAcentral's name for it is "sRNA MD16G0136200". It matches the Rfam family "U2 spliceosomal RNA". From Rfam's summary of the family: U2 is a small nuclear RNA (snRNA) component of the spliceosome (involved in pre-mRNA splicing). Complementary binding between U2 snRNA (in an area lying towards the 5' end but 3' to hairpin I) and the branchpoint sequence (BPS) of the intron results the bulging out of an unpaired adenosine, on the BPS, which initiates a nucleophilic attack at the intronic 5' splice site, thus starting the first of two transesterification reactions that mediate splicing. Lineage: Eukaryota; Viridiplantae; Streptophyta; Magnoliopsida; Rosales; Rosaceae. The record is from RNAcentral.
AUACCUUUCUCGGCCUUUUGGCUAAGAUCAAGUGUAAUAUAUGUUCUUAUCAGUUUAAUAUCUGAUACGUGAAUCAAUGGUUCACAUGAUAUUAAGUAAUUUUUUUAGGGGGAAGGGUCUAUGCUACUGGGAUCCUUGUGUGUUGCCCAAGCGUUGCAUUAUUGCUCGGGCUGGUGCACCCCAC